GCUGAUUUAUGUUGGUAAAUCAACAACAGCUGAUUCCAGUCUGGCUUAUUUAAGGAGGACUUUGAGGAGUGAUGCUUUUGGAAACAGAAAAGGACAAACACUGUAAUGUCUGAACGAGGAAGAGGAAGAGCAAGGGGUCCAGGGAGAAGACCAGGUCCAGGGAGAGGUGCAGGAAGAGGAGCAGUGAGAGGUGCAGUAGGAGGUGCAGUGAGAGGAAGAGUAAGGCGUGCAGAUGUAGAAGGAGGUGCAGUGAGAGUUGCAGGUGCAGGAAGAGGAG
Gasterosteus aculeatus aculeatus (three-spined stickleback) is the source of this 277-nucleotide long non-coding RNA. NCBI's taxonomy places the organism in Eukaryota, Metazoa, Chordata, Actinopteri, Perciformes, Gasterosteidae. The record is from Ensembl.